GUGCAGCGCCGCGGUAAUACCGGCAGCCCGAGUGAUGGCCGAUAUUAUUGGGCCUAAAGCGUCCGUAGCUGGCCGAACAAGUCCGUCGGGAAAUCCACGUGCUUAACACGUGGGCGACCGGCGGAAACUGUUCGGCUUGGGGCCGGAGGACCCGAGGGGUACGUCCGGGGUAGGAGUGAAAUCCUGUAAUCCUGGACGGACCGCCGGUGGCGAAAGCGCCUCGGGAAGACGGACCCGACAGUGAGGGACGAGAGCUGGGAUCUCGAACCGGAUUAGAAACCCUGUAUCC
Molecule: ribosomal RNA, 289 nt
Filed under: uncultured bacterium
Lineage: Bacteria
Description: partial 16S ribosomal RNA
Rfam family: Archaeal small subunit ribosomal RNA
Source: RNAcentral